AUAUAUAUAUUUGCUUAACAUCGAGAAUAGGAUUCAUACUCUAGUAACGGCUACUUGUAAAUUUGCGAUUUGUAAACCCUAUUCGAGUUUUGAACACUGAUUUUACUCAGAUGGAUCAUGUAAAUCACAGUCAAAUGUGGGAUUGUCAAGAAGGAUAUGUUAAGAUCCAAAAGGAAAGCAAUCUGGAUUGUUUCUCUUAUAUGCAUAAUGGAGAAUCAACCCCAGUUAGGGCUUGUGGGGAUUUGACUUAUCAUGG
Impatiens glandulifera is the source of this 256-nucleotide long non-coding RNA. RefSeq lists it as uncharacterized. NCBI's taxonomy places the organism in Eukaryota, Viridiplantae, Streptophyta, Magnoliopsida, Ericales, Balsaminaceae. The record is from RefSeq and is a predicted model, not a curated record. The transcript is spliced from 3 exons.